UGGGAUGUAGUCUAGUGGUAGGACAGCAGACUUUGACUCUGCCCGGGCAAGUUCGAUUCUUGCCAUCCCAGCCA
RNAcentral lists this transfer RNA (74 nucleotides) under Clostridia bacterium. RNAcentral describes it as "tRNA-Gln". It matches the Rfam family "tRNA". Rfam says of the family: Transfer RNA (tRNA) molecules are approximately 80 nucleotides in length. Their secondary structure includes four short double-helical elements and three loops (D, anti-codon, and T loops). Further hydrogen bonds mediate the characteristic L-shaped molecular structure. tRNAs have two regions of fundamental functional importance: the anti-codon, which is responsible for specific mRNA codon recognition, and the 3' end, to which the tRNAs corresponding amino acid is attached (by aminoacyl-tRNA synthetases). tRNAs cope with the degeneracy of the genetic code in two manners: having more than one tRNA (with a specific anti-codon) for a particular amino acid; and 'wobble' base-pairing, i.e. permitting non-standard base-pairing at the 3rd anti-codon position. The record is from RNAcentral. Lineage: Bacteria; Bacillati; Bacillota; Clostridia.